This 630-nucleotide long non-coding RNA is filed under the name Homo sapiens (human). RNAcentral describes it as "HSALNT0363703". The record is from RNAcentral. Lineage: Eukaryota; Metazoa; Chordata; Mammalia; Primates; Hominidae.
GCAGGGUCAGAAUCAUUACUCCAUUUUACGGAUGCCGGAUGUCUUCUCAGCUAAUCCUCCCAUCCAAUCCUCUGGGAAGCCUUUCAGGAUGCCCCACCCCGACUUAUCGCUGCCUUCUCUGAACUGCCAGCAAUGGACCUCAGUGGGGCGGAGGAUCAGCUUUCAUCUCCUUGCAGACACCUGGGGUGCUCCCAUGAGUUCCCAGCCUUUUUUCCACCCCCACCUUGCACAGAGGCCUCCCCCACAGGAGAGAGUGAGAUGAGGGAACAAAGGUGGCAGAACUUGCACAAUCCUGCAGCUAAGAAGUAGAGGAGCAGAGAUCUGAACCAAGAGACAGUCCUCAAGGCUUGUGCUCCCAAGCACGUCCCUCCACUACCUCCCUUCACGAUACUCAGUGGCACGGGUUAGGACGCCAGGCAUGGAUGAUGUGCCCACUGACCUCAGGCCUUGAAUAACAAGGAUUUCACUGCACGUAGAAGUAGGGGUAGGGCACAGCCAAGCAGAGAAGAAACUCAUUGGAAAACAGUCAGUGAUGCCAUGUGGCAGGAAGCACUCCAAGGCUGGGGAGUAUGGAAAGGCCCCUAUCAAGGAGGCAGAAGUCUUCCUAGAAGAUCUGAAGAAUGACAGGAA